UGUUGAAAAGACAGUCAAACACUCAGAGUCUUCUUCAUGGAUGGUCCUUUUUUCUAUUGGUAUUUUGAAAAAAUAAAUUGAGUGGUAUGGAAAAGGGGAUGGAUUCUGAUUCUUCAUGCAUGGCUGCAACCCACUUCUCAUGCACGAGAACCAUCCUUCAUUUUGGAAGGACAGAGAGAAUCUACGCACAGUGUUACUCCAUGCAAUAAACCUUUCUUAUGUAUUGAGCAAUGCUUCUUGCACUCACCAUGACCCUGGUGUCCACCUUGUUUUUGCAAGAAAGACAAAUGGUAGGCAUGGGUUCCACAUUAGGGGCAGUCCAAAGAGCUAAAAUAUGUUUAAAGGACAGUCAAACACUCAAGAGUCUUUUUCAUGGAGGGUCCUUUUUUUUCAAUUGGUAUUUUGAAAAAAUAAAUUUAGUGGUACGAAAAGGGCAUGGAUUCUGAUUCUUCAUGCAUGGCUGCGACCCACUUCUCAAGCACGAGAACCAUCCUUGCCCGUGGAAGGACAGAGAGAAUCUAUGCACAAUGUUACUACAUGCAAUAAACCUUUCUUAUGUAUUGAGCAUUAUUAUUGUUCUAUGUAAUUUGUAACUCCAAUAUAUCAAGAACUCC
RNAcentral lists this long non-coding RNA (614 nucleotides) under Nicotiana benthamiana. RNAcentral's name for it is "long non-coding RNA (NBEN_LNC006849)". The record is from RNAcentral. Lineage: Eukaryota; Viridiplantae; Streptophyta; Magnoliopsida; Solanales; Solanaceae.